Molecule: long non-coding RNA, 306 nt
Organism: Chroicocephalus ridibundus (black-headed gull)
Lineage: Eukaryota; Metazoa; Chordata; Aves; Charadriiformes; Laridae
Exons: 3
Source: RefSeq, a predicted model, not a curated record
GCUAAGGCCACCUCAACGUGCGCUGGGCGAUGGGCAGAGCUGUGCGCAACGCCCAGUGAAACCACCACCCCGGGAGAAACGGACAGGAUUCGACAGGAAAAGGGAAAGUCCUGUAGCCCAAACCAGACAAGGAACGGACAGACAAGCUCCACAUCGGUGGAAAUAGUUAGGUAACACAUACUGGACAAAAUUCAUUUGCACAGCAGAAAAGCAAGGCAAGACACUGAUCUACAAAACAGCAAUUGAAAGUUUGGUCAGAGUACGUAAAACAUUGUGUUCCAUAAUGAAGAACAGAGUUAAGCUAAG